This 516-nucleotide ribosomal RNA is filed under the name uncultured bacterium. Its description in RNAcentral is "partial 16S ribosomal RNA". It matches the Rfam family "Bacterial small subunit ribosomal RNA", at positions 28 to 523 of the family's 1533-position model. The record is from RNAcentral.
GACGAACGCUGGCGGCGUGCCUAAUACAUGCAAGUCGAGCGGACGUUUUUGAAGCUUGCUUCAAAAACGUUAGCGGCGGACGGGUGAGUAACACGUGGGCAACCUACCUUAUCGACUGGGAUAACUCCGGGAAACCGGGGCUAAUACCGGAUAACAUCUAGCACCUCCUGGUGCCGGAUUAAAAGAGGGCUACUUGCUCUCACGAUGAGAUGGGCCCGCGGCGCAUUAGCUAGUUGGAGAGGUAACGGCUCCCCAAGGCGACGAUGGGGAGCCGACCUGAGAGGGUGAUCGGCCACACUGGGACUGAGACACGGACCAGAGUCCUACGGGAGGCAGCAGUAGGGAAUCUUCCGCAAUGGACGAAAGUCUGACGUAGCAACGCCGCGUGAGUGAUGAAGGGUUUCGGCUCGUAAAGCUCUGUUAUGAGGGAAGAACACGUACCGUUCGAAUAGGGCGGUACCUUGACGGUACCUCAUCAGAAAGCCACGGCUAACUACGUGCCAGCCGCCGCCGUAA